Molecule: unclassified non-coding RNA, 398 nt
Filed under: soil metagenome
Description: partial contains 5.8S ribosomal RNA, internal transcribed spacer 2, and large subunit ribosomal RNA
Rfam family: 5.8S ribosomal RNA (bases 1-122)
Source: RNAcentral
GAUGAAGAACGCAGCGAAAUGCGAUACUUGGUGUGAAUUGCAGAAUCCCGUGAACCAUCGAGUCUUUGAACGCAAGUUGCGCCUCAAGCCAUUAGGUUGAGGGCACGUCUGCCUGGGCGUCACAUAUCGUUGCCUGAUGCCAGUUUCCUCGUGAUGGGUGACUGUGCAGGGCGAAUGAUGGCUUCCCGUGAGCAUUGUUGCCUCAUGGUUGGUUGAAAAUUGAGUCCUUGGUAGGGAGCGCCGUGAUAGAUGGUGGUUGUGACGAACGAGACCCAAUCAUGUGAGACCCCUACCGAAUUUGGCCUUCAUGACCCACAUGCGUCCUUGGAACGCUCAUGACGAGACCUCAGGUCAGGCGGGGCUACCCGCUGAGUUUAAGCAUAUCAAUAAGCGGAGGA